Molecule: ribosomal RNA, 207 nt
Filed under: uncultured bacterium
Lineage: Bacteria
Description: partial 16S ribosomal RNA
Rfam family: Bacterial small subunit ribosomal RNA
Source: RNAcentral
CGCGUAGGCGGACUGACCAGUCAGAGGUGAAAUCCCGGGGCUCAACCUCGGAACUGCCUUUGAUACUGUUAGUCUAGAGUGCAGUAGAGGGAGGUGGAAUUCCAGGUGUAGCGGUGAAAUGCGUAGAGAUCUGGAGGAACACCAGUGGCGAAGGCGGCCUCCUGGACUGACACUGACGCUGAGGUGCGAAAGCGUGGGGAUCAAACA